GUGCAUAUAAUGCAUCUUUUAAAAUUAAAAAUCUACCAUUACCAAGUGAAAUAAUAAUAUUUCCUAAUGCUAAAUCUGGAGUUGUUGAAACAUCAACCUGAAAAACACAAAUUUCUCCUCUAUUCAGCUUGUACGUUUCUUGAAAACCCUGCAAAAGUAGUGAAGAUUGAUCAGUGACUCUUGAAUCUACACACCAUGAUAUGGUAGAAACAACCGCUAAACACGUUUCAACGACAAGGGUAAGUGAAUCUAGCUUGUUUUUCUUCUUGGUUGGAAAAACUAAACAAUGUGUCUUACAAUAGCCUAAUAUCUUGCAAUGAAAACACUUGUUGUCAGGCUUAUUCACGUUGUCAGUUAGAGCUACAAUUUUCUUAUUAUUGUGAGUCUUUUUCUCCACCUUCAGUUUAGAAGUAGAACGUUUCUCAAGAAAAUUAUGACUCUCAAGUUUAUUUUGACAUAAAAUAAUGCUAAAGGAGGUAAAAGGAGAUAUAUUGAAUCUGAAAUUGAAAAACAUUACAAUAGAUCAUCGAUACAGUGAUAUAAAAAUUGAACGGUUAAAUUUAAACUCAUCAUAUACAUAUAUAUUUAUGCAUCUCAAAUAGACAAUCGAUGGAAUUGGAGAACUACUCAUGCAAUACACAUAUAUACUGACCGAUUAUUCAUUUCAUAAACUUUUACAGACCUAAUUCAGAUGAAGAGUAUAUUGUUAGUUUAAGAGAAAAUCUACUCUAGUUACAUUGAUUCAAUCAUAUAUUACUCAGUUUAGGAGAAUUAAUACAGAUUAUCCAACUAACGAUUAAAUACGUAAUGACUAAUACUAAAUUCAUCCGAUAGGAAGGAAGGUCUAAGUCAGCACACAAACUUAAUACUUCUUUACUAUUUAACUCAUGGUAAUUACGACAAGAACCCUUAUUACCAAAUAAUUUUAUGUUCACAUGAAACAAACCAAACUUUGAAUCAAAAUAAAGUUUUCAGAUCUCUUGUUUGUAUCAUAAUGCUUUUCCUUUUUUUCUCUUUAACAAAACAAGCACUACUUUAAGAAAAUUGAAAAAGUUUUCUUCGUCUUUUUGUGAACAUAAUAAUAAUAAUAAAUAGACAAGGAAAAACACAAAAUUUUGACAAUUUUAUUGCAUAGCUUUGGCAGUAUGCCUUUUUUUUUAUUUAUUUGAAAAAGUGAAACUUAAUACAGUAACAAUUAGCAAAUAAUGGGUUAAAACCCUCCGGCAGCCACCAUUAUAUUCGUCGCCAAAUUGUUCACAACAACCGUCACUCACCUUUUUUUUUCUUCAGUCACAAAUAUUAAUUUCUCGAACAAAUUUUAUACUUUAAAUUACCGUAUCAUGUUCUUGAAAUUAUUAACACCGAACACAUGGACAAUAAAAUUGAACAACGCGGUUUUCUUAACUUUGAAACACACGAUUUUCAAAAAAUCUUCAAACAGAGUAUACUCCAUCGUAUAUAUCUACGUCUAUGUUUAGAUUAUCUACAAAGAUGCAAAAAGGCUCGUGAUAUUAAUUGUUGGAAAAUCAAGCACGCUGAUGUCAAUUGUUGGAAAAUCAAGCUCACAUAGCGGGAACAAAUAGACAUGAUCUCUUACAUGUAAUACAGACAAUCAACAUAAACACAUGUCUCAUGCAAAGGUUGCUUAAAAAUAAUCAGAAAUACCUCUCAAAAUAUGAGCAGAUGUCUUGAAUCGAAUCUGUCCUCGAAUCUGUGAUAUUCUACCGUGAUCCCUAAUUUACAGCCAAACUCUCUCAAUACUUAGGUGAUCUUCUACAGUGAUUGCGAUAUUCUACCGUAAUCCCAAAUUUACAGCCGAACUCUCUCAAUAUUAUUGGGUUCGAAAUCGAGAGGGCUGCAAACUAUUGAGACAAUAAAUCAGACGAAAAGAAAAACAUACUAAAAACAUGAUUAUUAUAUAGUUUGGCCAAUUGGCCUACAUAUAAAAACGUAAUAUAAAAGAAAACAUAAAACUAUUAGAGAGAAAAUUUCUCCCUAAACAAAACAAAGACAUUUAAAGACUAUAUGGUGGAUGCUAUUGUAUUGUGGUAUGAGAAGGGGGUUUUCU
RNAcentral lists this long non-coding RNA (2068 nucleotides) under Capsicum annuum. RNAcentral's name for it is "long non-coding RNA (CANN_LNC005275)". Lineage: Eukaryota; Viridiplantae; Streptophyta; Magnoliopsida; Solanales; Solanaceae. The record is from RNAcentral.